This 253-nucleotide ribosomal RNA is filed under the name uncultured bacterium. Its description in RNAcentral is "partial 16S ribosomal RNA". It matches the Rfam family "Bacterial small subunit ribosomal RNA", at positions 524 to 776 of the family's 1533-position model. The record is from RNAcentral.
UACAGAGGUCUCAAGCGUUGUUCGGAUUCAUUGGGCGUAAAGGGUGUGUAGGUGGCGCGCUAAGUCGGGUGUGAAAUCUCGGAGCUUAACUCCGAAACUGCAUUCGAUACUGCCGUGCUUGAGGACUGGAGAGGAGACUGGAAUUUACGGUGUAGCGGUGAAAUGCGUAGAUAUCGUAAGGAAGACCAGUGGCGAAGGCGGGUCUCUGGACAGUUCCUGACGCUGAGGCACGAAGGCUAGGGGAGCAAACGGG